CCUACGGGUGGCAGCAGUCGAGAAUCAUUCACAAUGGGGGAAACCCUGAUGGUGCGACGCCGCGUGGGGGAAUGAAGGUCUUCGGAUUGUAAACCCCUGUCAUGUGGGAGCAAAUUAAAAAGAUAGUACCACAAGAGGAAUAGACGGCUAACUCUGUGCCAGCAGCCGCGGUAAUACAGAGGUCUCAAGCGUUGUUCGGAAUCACUGGGCGUAAAGCGUGCGUAGGCUGUUUCGUAAGGCGUGUGUGAAAGGUGCGGGCUCAACCCGCGGACGGCACAUGAUACUGGGAGACUAGAGUAAUGGAGGGGGAACCGGAAUUCUCGGUGUAGCAGUGAAAUGCGUAGAUAUCGAGAGGAACACUCGUGGCGAAGGCGGGUUCCUGGACAUUAACUGACGCUGAGGCACGAAGGCCAGGGGAGCGAAAGGGAUUAGAUACCCGAGUAGUC
This 446-nucleotide ribosomal RNA is filed under the name uncultured bacterium. RNAcentral's name for it is "partial 16S ribosomal RNA". It matches the Rfam family "Bacterial small subunit ribosomal RNA", at positions 338 to 795 of the family's 1533-position model. The record is from RNAcentral.